GGUGGCUCAGUGGUAGAGUGCUUACCUUGCAUGUAAAAGGCCCUGGGUUCAAUUCCUCAGCACCA
This 65-nucleotide transfer RNA is filed under the name Dipodomys ordii (Ord's kangaroo rat). It matches the Rfam family "tRNA". From Rfam's summary of the family: Transfer RNA (tRNA) molecules are approximately 80 nucleotides in length. Their secondary structure includes four short double-helical elements and three loops (D, anti-codon, and T loops). Further hydrogen bonds mediate the characteristic L-shaped molecular structure. tRNAs have two regions of fundamental functional importance: the anti-codon, which is responsible for specific mRNA codon recognition, and the 3' end, to which the tRNAs corresponding amino acid is attached (by aminoacyl-tRNA synthetases). tRNAs cope with the degeneracy of the genetic code in two manners: having more than one tRNA (with a specific anti-codon) for a particular amino acid; and 'wobble' base-pairing, i.e. permitting non-standard base-pairing at the 3rd anti-codon position. The record is from Rfam by way of RNAcentral. Lineage: Eukaryota; Metazoa; Chordata; Mammalia; Rodentia; Heteromyidae.